CACGUAGGGUGCAAGCGUUGUCCGGAAUUAUUGGGCGUAAAGGGCUCGUAGGCGGUCCGUCACGUCGGGAGUGAAAACUCGGGGCUCAACCCCGAGCCUGCUUUCGAUACGGGCGGACUAGUGGUAGGUAGGGGAGAACGGAAUUCCUGGUGUAGCGGUGGAAUGCGCAGAUAUCAGGAGGAACACCGGUGGCGAAGGCGGUUCUCUGGGCCUUACCUGACGCUGAGGAGCGAAAGCGUGGGGAGCGAACAGG
Molecule: ribosomal RNA, 253 nt
Filed under: uncultured bacterium
Lineage: Bacteria
Description: partial 16S ribosomal RNA
Rfam family: Bacterial small subunit ribosomal RNA
Source: RNAcentral